AUGAACGCUGGCGGCGUGCCUAAUACAUGCAAGUCGAGCGAACAGACGAGGAGCUUGCUCCUCUGACGUUAGCGGCGGACGGGUGAGUAACACGUGGAUAACCUACCUAUAAGACUGGGAUAACUUCGGGAAACCGGAGCUAAUACCGGAUAACAUGUUGAACCGCAUGGUUCAACAGUGAAAGACGGUCUUGCUGUCACUUAUAGAUGGAUCCGCGCCGCAUUAGCUAGUUGGUAAGGUAACGGCUUACCAAGGCAACGAUGCGUAGCCGACCUGAGAGGGUGAUCGGCCACACUGGAACUGAGACACGGUCCAGACUCCUACGGGAGGCAGCAGUAGGGAAUCUUCCGCAAUGGGCGAAAGCCUGACGGAGCAACGCCGCGUGAGUGAAGAAGGUCUUCGGAUCGUAAAACUCUGUUAUUAGGGAAGAACAAAUGUGUAAGUAACUAUGCACGUCUUGACGGUACCUAAUCAGAAAGCCACGGCUAACUACGUGCCAGCAGCCGCGGUAAUACGUAGGUGGCAAGCGUUAUCCGGAAUUAUUGGGCGUAAAGCGCGCGUAGGCGGUUUUUUAAGUCUGAUGUGAAAGCCCACGGCUCAACCGUGGAGGGUCAUUGGAAACUGGAAAACUUGAGUGCAGAAGAGGAAAGUGGAAUUCCAUGUGUAGCGGUGAAAUGCGCAGAGAUAUGGAGGAACACCAGUGGCGAAGGCGACUUUCUGGUCUGUAACUGACGCUGAUGUGCGAAAGCGUGGGGAUCAAACAGGAUUAGAUACCCUGGUAGUCCACGCCGUAAACGAUGAGUGCUAAGUGUUAGGGGGUUUCCGCCCCUUAGUGCUGCAGCUAACGCAUUAAGCACUCCGC
RNAcentral lists this ribosomal RNA (862 nucleotides) under Staphylococcus sp. M_Sw_oHS_12/10_6_1(1). RNAcentral describes it as "bacterial SSU rRNA". It matches the Rfam family "Bacterial small subunit ribosomal RNA", at positions 29 to 872 of the family's 1533-position model. The record is from RNAcentral. Lineage: Bacteria; Bacillati; Bacillota; Bacilli; Caryophanales; Staphylococcaceae.